CGGCGACCGGCGCACGGGUGAGUAACGCGUAUGCAACUUACCUAUCAGAGGGGGAUAGCCCGGCGAAAGUCGGAUUAAUACCCCAUGAAACAGGGGUCCCGCAUGGGAAUAUUUGUUAAAGAUUCAUCGCUGAUAGAUAGGCAUGCGUUCCAUUAGGCAGUUGGCGGGGUAACGGCCCACCAAACCGACGAUGGAUAGGGGUUCUGAGAGGAAGGUCCCCCACAUUGGUACUGAGACACGGACCAA
This 246-nucleotide ribosomal RNA is filed under the name uncultured bacterium. Its description in RNAcentral is "partial 16S ribosomal RNA". It matches the Rfam family "Bacterial small subunit ribosomal RNA", at positions 89 to 334 of the family's 1533-position model. The record is from RNAcentral.